AGAGUUUGAUCCUGGCUCAGAUUGAACGCUGGCGGCAUGCCUUACACAUGCAAGUCGAGCGGCAGCGCGGGGGCAACCCUGGCGGCGAGCGGCGGACGGGUGAGUAAUACAUCGGAACGUAUCCUUUCGUGGGGGAUAACCAGUCGAAAGACUGGCUAAUACCGCAUGAGAUCGAAAGAUGAAAGCGGGGGACCGCAAGGCCUCGCGCGAUUGGAGCGGCCGAUGUCGGAUUAGCUAGUUGGCGGGGUAAAAGCCCACCAAGGCGACGAUCCGUAGCUGGUUUGAGAGAACGACCAGCCACACUGGGACUGAGACACGGCCCAGACUCCUACGGGAGGCAGCAGUGGGGAAUUUUGGACAAUGGGGGCAACCCUGAUCCAGCCAUGCCGCGUGUGUGAAGAAGGCCUUCGGGUUGUAAAGCACUUUCGGCCGGAACGAAAUCGCGCGGGCUAUUACCCCGCGUGGAUGACGGUACCGAAGUAGAGCC
RNAcentral lists this ribosomal RNA (487 nucleotides) under uncultured Caldimonas sp. Its description in RNAcentral is "bacterial SSU rRNA". It matches the Rfam family "Bacterial small subunit ribosomal RNA", at positions 8 to 494 of the family's 1533-position model. The record is from RNAcentral. Lineage: Bacteria; Pseudomonadati; Pseudomonadota; Betaproteobacteria; Burkholderiales; Sphaerotilaceae.